RNAcentral lists this small nuclear RNA (324 nucleotides) under Cricetulus griseus (Chinese hamster). RNAcentral's name for it is "7SK RNA (ENSCGRG00001005006.1)". It matches the Rfam family "7SK RNA". From Rfam's summary of the family: 7SK was discovered as an abundant small nuclear RNA in the mid-70s but a possible function has only recently been suggested. Two independent studies have found that 7SK RNA binds the CDK9/cyclin T complex (known as elongation factor P-TEFb). P-TEFb activates transcription by phosphorylating the C-terminal domain of RNA polymerase II. Lineage: Eukaryota; Metazoa; Chordata; Mammalia; Rodentia; Cricetidae. The record is from RNAcentral.
GGAUGUGAGGACAAUCUUAGUGUGGCAUCUGUCACUUCAUUGAUUGCCAGGGUUAACUGAGCAGAUCUGUCGGGCUUGGCGGGGGUCCCCUUUCUACCUCACUGCUCCAUACACAUCCCUCUCCAAGUUGUGUGCUCAGUGUAUGAAGAUGACAUUCCCUGAGUGAGGAGGUUAGUUCUCUAUCUCUAAAGGUCUAUGAGUAGCUACUUGCCCCUUCUAGAACCUCUAAGGCAAGCUCUCAAGGUUCAUUUGUUGGAGAUUGUAAGAGAGUUAAACUUCCAAGACUCCAAACACCUCCAAAAAAUGAGGUGCCUGCCUUCCUUU